Molecule: long non-coding RNA, 763 nt
Organism: Eptesicus fuscus (big brown bat)
Lineage: Eukaryota; Metazoa; Chordata; Mammalia; Chiroptera; Vespertilionidae
Exons: 4
Source: RefSeq, a predicted model, not a curated record
CUGGGCAAGGCACAGCAACGCCUUGGACGGCUGGGACAAGAGUGGCUGUUUCCGAGGAGAGGACGUUUGUUGGCUCCUCUUUUGUAUCUCAUAUCCAGUGUUUUUCUUCACAGGUUUUACACAGUAGGGACCAAGAAGCCCUCAGGGACACCGCUGGGAAAAGACUGCUCCAGGGAAGACCUGCGGGGAUCAUGGGAUCUAUUCCAGAGAAAACUAACCAACAGUGAUCAUCUUCGACUAAAACUGCUCGUGGAUAUAAUGGGAAGUGUUACAUCAUUCCUUAAUUGAGCAGAGUUAACUGGAUCAAAGUAUUUAUGGGAGAGAGAGGGAAAGCUAUACCGAAUUACAGUAAUUUUUAAUUUCUACAAAUAUGCUCUUUACUGACCGUAUCUGCCCAUGAGCAAAGGAAACCUGAAGGAACCAAGGGCCUGGCUGGACGGAGUUGUCAUGUGUCUGCCUGUCUACACUUGCUGUGCAGAACAUCCGCUCACCUGUACAGCAGGCACAGACAGGCAGUCACAUGACAACCCAGCCUGAAUGACAACCAGCCAUUGAAAGAAAGCAGCCCUCACACCAUAGCAUCUACACCAAGAGCUACAACCAAAAUGAGGGGUUCGGGGGGAAGGCCUGGGUUUUUCAUCUGUUGGUUUAAUACUUAACUCGUAUGUAUUAUUAUUAUUAUUAUUAUUAUUAUUAUUAUUCUCUUUUGAUUCAAAUAUUGAAACCCACCAUAAGUAAAGUGAGUAGUGCCUAUGAAAUAUAA